CCUACGGGGGGCAGCAGUGGGGAAUAUUGCACAAUGGGCGCAAGCCUGAUGCAGCGACGCCGCGUGGGGGAUGACGGCCUUCGGGUUGUAAACUCCUUUCGCUAGGGAAGAAGCCACUGUGUGGUGACGGUACCUGGAUAAGAAGCACCGGCUAACUACGUGCCAGCAGCCGCGGUAAUACGUAGGGUGCGAGCGUUGUCCGGAAUUACUGGGCGUAAAGAGCUCGUAGGUGGUUUGUCGCGUCGUCUGUGAAAUCCCGGGGCUUAACUUCGGGCGUGCAGGCGAUACGGGCAUAACUAGAGUGCUGUAGGGGAGACUGGAAUUCCUGGUGUAGCGGUGAAAUGCGCAGAUAUCAGGAGGAACACCGAUGGCGAAGGCAGGUCUCUGGGCAGUUACUGACGC
RNAcentral lists this ribosomal RNA (402 nucleotides) under uncultured Streptococcus sp. Its description in RNAcentral is "bacterial SSU rRNA". It matches the Rfam family "Bacterial small subunit ribosomal RNA", at positions 338 to 746 of the family's 1533-position model. The record is from RNAcentral. Lineage: Bacteria; Bacillati; Bacillota; Bacilli; Lactobacillales; Streptococcaceae.